CGAGGCUACAAAUAAACCACUCAAACGGACGCCUCUUGUUCUAAUCACCCCAUAAAAUGUGUUUAAGCGACCAGACGGAGACUUUCCAGGCCUUUAUUUAUCUAUUUAUUAUUGUGGCUGACCGGAGCAUCCUUCUCCUAAAGAGCCCGGUGCCAAGCGCCGUGAGUUAUGCAAAGGCGGGAGAGGGACGGGUGGGGAAACGCUGCCGUAACUCACCCCCCAGCCCGGACGGGAGGAUUUCGGGGGGCGGGGGGCACCCCAGACCUCUCCAUAAAGGCUUUGUCCCCCCGCCAUGACCCCACGGGCCUUUUGCAGGGGAGGGAACGGGUUCCGCUGAGGGUGCAGCUUGGUGGGAUGUCACCCUCCGGGAGUUUGGAGGGACAUCGAAGCCUUAAAUGGGGUAAUUUGGGGGGUUUUGAGUGGAAAAGGUGUUUUCUGACACCCGGCUGAGUUAUAUUUGAGCUGUUCCUCCCCAAAAACCUGCUUUGCAGAGGGGGUGCACGGUGGCUCCCCCCAUCCCGCAUCCAGUUCCCGGUUCUGGCAUCUCCCACCCAGGCUCUUGGUUGGGAUGUGGUGGUGGGAUGCUCUGGGGAGGUGGUGGGAUGCUCCGAGGAGGUGGUGGGAUGCUCCAAAGAGAUGGAGGGAUGCUCCAAAGAGAUGGAGGGAUGCUCCAAGGUGGAGGAACGCUCUGACAAGGUGGUGGGAUGCUCUGGUGAGUUGACGGGAUGCUCCAAGGUGAAGGGGCACUCCAAGGUGGAGGGAUCCUCUGUCAAGGUGGUGGGAUGCUCUGAUGAGGUGGAGGGAUGCUCCGAUGAGGUUGAGGGAUGUUCCAACAAGGUUGAGGGAUGCUCUAUUGGUGGAGGGAUGGUCUGUCAAGGUGGUGGGAUGCUCCGAGGAGGUGGUGGGAUGCUCUGAUGAGGUGGAGGGAUGUUCCAACGAGGUUGAGGGAUGCUCCAAGGUGGGGGGAUGCUCUGAUCCCUCAUCAGAAGGAUGCUCAAGACGAGGUGGAGGGAUGAUCCAACAACGUGCUGAGAUGCUCCCAAGUUGGAGGGGACUCUCCAAUCUCUCCUCCAGCAGCCAAACCCCUGCCCUCCCCACAA
This 1100-nucleotide long non-coding RNA is filed under the name Calidris pygmaea (Spoon-billed sandpiper). RNAcentral's name for it is "lncRNA (ENSCPGG00000002586.1)". Lineage: Eukaryota; Metazoa; Chordata; Aves; Charadriiformes; Scolopacidae. The record is from RNAcentral.